This 554-nucleotide long non-coding RNA is filed under the name Heterocephalus glaber (naked mole-rat). RNAcentral describes it as "lncRNA (ENSHGLG00000042725.1)". The record is from RNAcentral. Lineage: Eukaryota; Metazoa; Chordata; Mammalia; Rodentia; Bathyergidae.
CGUGCGCUGAGCGGGGCGGGGACGGCUGAGGUGCGGCCGGCGGAGGCGCGGCCGGGACCGGAUCGGGCGCCCAUUCGCGCGCUUCUCAGGCUGCGCCGGGCGCUUCCGCCAGGAGGCGACGCAGCGUGAGGCCAGCGGCGGCCGCCAGAGGCGGGGACCCCAGGCGGGCUCCCCAGGACGACCUUACCUGGGCCUGACCGCCACCCCACCGCGAGGGCGGGGAGUCCGGAAUCUCGGGCCUGAGCAAGUGAAAGUCCCAGUAGAUGGCUCCGGGUCGAAUCUUCACUCCUAAGUACCUGCACCUCCUUUCUGAAUCCUCGUUCUCCGUUUUGCCUUCUUCCUUCCCAAUCCUAAAUCUGGACCGAUCAGAGGAGAUAAUCUUGGAAGGAAAGUCGUUUCUUCAUAAAUAGCACCUUUCUGCGCGUCUGGGGCGAGUCACUAGAGUCAGGCCUAACAUGUCCAGCAAUGGAGUAAAUAGCAACUGGUGGAGCCAGGCCAGUGUGUGAACUCCUGGGCUUUCCAAGGAUCUCCACCUACACCACAACCACAUCCUG